AGAAUUGAUCUUGGUCAGGAUGAACGCUAGCGGCAGGCUUAACACAUGCAAGUCGAGGGGCAUCGGGAGUAGCAAUACUGCCGGCGACCGGCGCAAGGGUGCGUAACGCGUGAGCAACAUGCCCGUAUCAGGGGGAUAAUCCAUGGAAACGUGGUCUAAUACCCCAUAGUAAUUAUGUAAGGCAUCUUAUAUAAUUUAAAGCUUUGGUGGAUACGGAUUGGCUCGCGUGACAUUAGCUAGAUGGUAAGGUAACGGCUUACCAUGGCUACGAUGUCUAGGGGUUCUGAGAGGAAGGUCCCCCACACUGGAACUGAGACACGGUCCAGACUCCUACGGGAGGCAGCAGUGAGGAAUAUUGGACAAUGGAUGGAAAUCUGAUCCAGCCAUGCCGCGUGCAGGAAGACGGCCCUAUGGGUUGUAAACUGCUUUUGUAUGGGAGCAAUAAGGGCUACGUGUAGUCCGAUGAGAGUACCAUACGAAUAAGCACCGGCUAACUCCGUGCCAGCCGCCGC
This 512-nucleotide ribosomal RNA is filed under the name uncultured bacterium. Its description in RNAcentral is "bacterial SSU rRNA". It matches the Rfam family "Bacterial small subunit ribosomal RNA", at positions 9 to 518 of the family's 1533-position model. The record is from RNAcentral.